CAGUAGCCGCGGUAAUACGAAGGGUGCAAGCGUUAAUCGGAAUUACUGGGCGUAAAGCGUGCGUAGGCGGUUUGUUAAGUCUGCUGUGAAAUCCCCGGGCUCAACCUGGGAAUGGCAGUGGAUACUGGCAAGCUAGAGUGUGUCAGAGGAUGGUGGAAUUCCCGGUGUAGCGGUGAAAUGCGUAGAGAUCGGGAGGAACAUCAGUGGCGAAGGCGGCCAUCUGGGACAACACUGACGCUGAGGCACGAAAGCGUGGGGAGCAAACAGGAUUAGAUACCCCAGUAGUCCCUGUCUCUUAUAA
This 301-nucleotide ribosomal RNA is filed under the name uncultured bacterium. Its description in RNAcentral is "partial 16S ribosomal RNA". It matches the Rfam family "Bacterial small subunit ribosomal RNA", at positions 509 to 809 of the family's 1533-position model. The record is from RNAcentral.